CCAAUUUUGCCCCGGGGCCCAAAACCUACCCAAUACCCGAAUAAUCCAUUACAGGCCUAAAACCCAAACCUACCUAAACCUACCCAACUAACCCAAUACCCAAAACCUAAACCAACUAGACCUAACCCAACAAACACAAAUAACAGGCCCAAAAAAUUAAAAAACCCAGCAGCCAAAACACCCCCAACCCAUUUUCAGCAAAAAACAGUAACCCUAACCCUAGGUACGUCACACCUAAGGUCGUCCACUUGCUCUGCCACCGCCGCAGCCACAUGCCCACCUACCCACCUGUUUCGUCAAGACCUAAAAACACGCAACAGCAGCAGAAGCAACAGAUGGAAAAGAAAAAUGACAGUUUAAAAUAAUUGUAAAAUGUUCAAAUCGAAUAUAAAAGAAGGGCUAGAUCUCCUUUGUAACUUUCUACGAAAUUUUGAAGAAAAAGAAAUAAAAACAGAAAAAAAGGUGAUUGCCGAUUUCGAUUUAAGGCUUUCUUUUUAUUUUUAUUUUUAUUUUUAUUUUUUUCUCUAUUUAUUUUUAUUUUUAUUUUUAAAAAAUAUAUACGAAAAUAAAGGAAAAGAGGUUUUUUUACUGUUUAUCGUCGUCGCCGAACGUACAUCGGGGAGCAAAAGGGGGAAUUAUUUUUGCUCCCAGUCGCCGUGUACGGCAGCGCCGGCGCCGGCUGCCAGUGGUCGAACCACUGGCCGGUUUAUGGGGAGAAGAGAGGUUUUGAGAGAGAAAUCUGGUUUUUUUUUUAGAGAAUGAGAGAAAUGAAUUUUUUGAAUUUUUUUUUGCUUAAAUAGCCCAAACAAAACAACGUUGUUUUGGCUGACGUCCUUAAUCCCCAAAACGGCGUCGUUUUGCCCUUAACCUAGAUUUCAACCCGACCCACCUGGAGGAUUCGCAUGUUUUCGACGGAAGCGCUAAUUGCACCUUUAGCCCUUCCGUUUUUUAAGGGUUUUUUUAAUUAAGUUUUUUUAUUUUCUUAAUUUUACCCCGUAAAUUGUUGCGCUUACAAUUUGGCCCUUAUUUGAACGACGCUGUUUUGGAAGAGAAAAGAAAAUUUCCCUUUUAAUCCCUCCUUUUUAUUCGCGCGUUCAAAUUAGUCAAUUUCUUUUUUAUUUAUUUCGAAUCCACCCCAAAUUUCCGUCUUUUAGUUCGAUUUAGUCCUUUAUACUUGUUAUUUUUUUAAUUAAUUAAUGUUAUUAUUAUUACUAUUAUUAUUGCUAUUAUUUAUAUAUUUCUAUUUAUAUUUAUGUAUCAGGUUUAAAGAUAUUUUGGUUUUCUCAUAUAUUUUUAUUUAUUUACUUAUAUCUUUUUUAUAAUUUUUAAAUUUUAGAUUAAUUCACUAUUUUUUUAUUAAUAUUAUUAUUAUUUACUUAUUAUUAUUUAUUUUAAUUUCAAACUUUGUUAUAUAUAUACGUACAUAUAUAUUUUUACAUUUUAUAAUUUUAUUUAUUUUCUUUAUUGUUAUUAUUUAUUUAUUUACAUGCCCAUUAUUAUUUUAAAAACGUUUUAAUUCUAUUAAUUUAUUUACUUGUUAUUAUAUAAUUGAUUUGUCUCUUUUAUUUAUUUAUCUUAAUUUUGUUGUUGUUCGUAUUAUUUUUACUUAUAUUAUCAUAUUUGUUAUUCCGUUAUGCAUAUUAACACCAUAUAUCAAAAGGAAAAUUUUUCUAAAUAAGGUAAUAUUUUGCGUUUGAAAAUUUGAGAAAACGUGCCCUAACGUGCUGGGUUUCGAUUUCUCGUUUGACCAAAUAGCCAAAUACCCUCUUAAAAUUUCAAAAUAUGGGUUUUGGAAACCAUAAGGUGAUCUUGGUUUCGAGAGUUUAAAGUAUCGUAUCCUAACGUGCUGGAUGUGAUAUUCUUUCGGAACAAGAGAAUCCUAAAUUCCAACCCAUAUCAUUCGAAAAAUAUUUAGGAUCGUAUUUUUAAAAUUAUUCAAAAUUUUUAAUCUUCGACACUAAGACACUAAUUAAUCAACUAGGUACCAAAUUUUGAGCGUUACAAGGGUGCUAACCCUUCAUCGUACUUAACCGACUCCCGAACUUAUUUUUCUGAAUUUCGUGGACCAAAAUCGUUAUUUUAAUAAAAUCAAAUCGUUUAUUAAAAACAACUACUUUUUGAGGUGGCCCGAUCACACCUUAUCAAAAAAGAUUGGUGGCGACUCUCAUAUUCAUUUUCAUUUUCAAAAUCCAAGUCGACCCCGUUUUACAAAAAAAAAAUGGUGUCAAUAGUAAAAUUACACUUUGGCUCAAAAAAAUAAAAAUUUGAUUUAAUCCUUUAAAAAUUGUAAAGAUAUAGUUUAUUAAAAUAGUGAAAUUACAUUUUUACUAUUGUAAAAAUAUACAAUUAAAUUCUGACCCAAAAAAAUUUUCUGGCUUCGCCUAUACAUUGGGGAUACAGGGGUAGGUGGGGGCCACUGCCUUCUUUAACUUUUUAGAAAUUUACAUAGCAUCUCCUUUAACAUCAACUUUAUUACAUUAAACCCCCCAAAAUAUUUAAAUUUUGCCCUCCUUAAACCUCCCAAAAAAACACCAACCCCUUUAAUUUUAUUCAUAUUUCAAACCAUAAAUAUAUAUACUUUAAUUAUUGAAUAAUUAUAUAUGAAAUUUAAUAGUAAAAAAAAUGUAGUCGACAAUGCUAAUAUAAAUUUGAUAGAAAUAAAAUAAUUCAUGAUGGGAGCCAUCAAUCGUAUGUAAAAGACUAACUUUGGAGAGGCGAGUUGGUUUGGAAAGGCGGAGACCACUUGAACCCUCCUAGUACAAGAUUAACUUUGAUGCGGCUUACCUUUCCAGAUCAAACAAAUCUUGUUCAGGGUUAGUUGCCCGUAAUACAGAUGGUAAGAUAAUGGGUUCAAGAACAAUUAUUAAUGAUAGCAUGUGUCUAGGCAGUUCAGAUGGGGUUAGAUCUGGGUCUCAGUAAGGUCGUGAUUGAAGGAGAUAAUCUUUCGAUGAUAAAAAAGCUACAUGCACGAGUGAUUAAAAGAUCAGUGUUGAGUGCCUAUAUAAUCAACGCAAAGAAAACCAGUGAAGAUUUUGUUGGAUGUAUGUUUAGGCAUGUAAUAAGAAAUGAAAAUGAACUGGCCCACAUUCUUGCUAAAGAGGGUUUGCGAAGGGAGGAAAAUACUUAUCUGUUGGAGAGGGUGCCUUCAUAUACAAUAGCAGCGACGGAGAUGGACAAUCGGCGAAUAGAUCAGGCUUCUCUUAGUGUCUGAGGCUUGGGAAAGAUGAAGAGAUAAGGAAGUCUCAAAUUUUUUACCUGUAAAGAGACAUUUUAUUUUCUGCAGUAUCCCCUAGUUUUGUUGUUUCAAAUGCCUUAAUAGAGGGAUGGGGCAACUCCUUUAUUAUUGACUGGGUUAUUUACGGGAAAUAGUGAAUGGUUUAAUUUAUUUAUUUUUUAUGUUGGUUACUGUGUUGCCGUUUCAUAUGGUUGAAAUUUUGUAAACCCUUUAUUUUUCUAUUAUUCUAAUCCA
Molecule: long non-coding RNA, 3469 nt
Filed under: Gossypium barbadense (sea-island cotton)
Lineage: Eukaryota; Viridiplantae; Streptophyta; Magnoliopsida; Malvales; Malvaceae
Description: long non-coding RNA (GBAR_LNC015318)
Source: RNAcentral